RNAcentral lists this ribosomal RNA (247 nucleotides) under uncultured Nostocaceae cyanobacterium. Its description in RNAcentral is "partial 16S ribosomal RNA". It matches the Rfam family "Bacterial small subunit ribosomal RNA", at positions 439 to 700 of the family's 1533-position model. The record is from RNAcentral. Lineage: Bacteria; Bacillati; Cyanobacteriota; Cyanophyceae; Nostocales; Nostocaceae.
UCAGGGAAUAAAAAAAUGAAGGUACCUGAGGAAUAAGCAUCGGCUAACUCUGUGCCAGCAGCCGCGGUAAUACGGAGGAUGCAAGCGUUAUCCGGAAUGAUUGGGCGUAAAGGGUCCGCAGGUGGCAAUGUAAGUCUGCUGUCAAAGAAUGAGGCUUAACCUCAUCAAGGCAGUGGAAACUACGUAGCUAGAGUACGGUCGGGGUAGAAGGAAUUCCUGGUGUAGCGGUGAAAUGCGUAGAGAUCAG